This 4819-nucleotide long non-coding RNA is filed under the name Toxoplasma gondii VEG. The record is from RNAcentral. Lineage: Eukaryota; Apicomplexa; Conoidasida; Eucoccidiorida; Sarcocystidae.
CGGAGAAAUACACAAUGCAAAAGAACAAAGAGAGGUCACGCUUCGCGCGAGUGGAGAACUUGGAGAGGGGAGGAACGACGGCACCACUUGAAAAACGAAAAAAGGAAAAACGAGAGUUGCAACUGGACGAUCACAGAUGAGUCUGGCGUCUUCGUUUGACACAGAGCCUCAAACGAAUCACGAAGAGCAAAAGAAGCGGAGAAGUUGGACAGAGAGAGUGUGUGUGUCCAGGCAGGCAGAGACAAGAGAGGCGCGACGACGGGGAAUAGGCUCAGAAGCAGUGGAGAGGAGGCUAUUUAAGAGAACUGAGAAAAACGAGAUUCUUUCGAAGCAAGAGCCUGAGGGAAACGCAGGUGAGGUCGAGCGAAAAGGGAGAAAAGCAGAGGGAGGGGGUAUCGUUUCCUGUUCGUUCGCUCCACUUUUCCAGUCCUCUCGGAUGCUCGCCGCUGGGCGCUUGUCUCUCCUUGCUCUGCGGUCCGCGCAUCCCCUGCGAUUUCCGUAGGUUUUUUUCUGCCUUCUCUGGAUCCGCCACUCGGGAGCCUUCAGCAGAGUCUCUUGCCCAUCUUCUGUUGUUCGUUGGCUUCUCCUCCACACCAUGAAACAAAAACGAGAUGCUAGUGCCGAGGCGACACACCGCGCAACAGUCGCGCGCCGUCCUCGCUCUUCGUCAUCAUUUUCCGCGACUCAUCACCCCGUUCAAUUUUUCUUCUCUUUCCUUCUGUGUGUCUGCGCCUUCUUUCCUCUCGCGUUGUGUCGUCUUUCUCUGUGUGUGUCGUUUGAGGCGGCGGAGAAGAAGCGAGCGUCUGAAAGACGGGUGCGCGGCUGCAGAGCCAGGCGCUUCUCUCGCGAGUCACGCGGCAGGUCGUUGCGUUGUCAAAUCGCAAAGUGAACGGCCGUCAGAAAAACGUCUUUUCGCCGCAAUGGAAGAGUCUCGCGGAUUCUCGUCGCUGCGCGCGGAAGCUGCGACGGCCUCCCAAGGGUAGGCGCGGGGGACUCUCGGCUGACCGAACGGACGCCGCAGGUCACGGCCGUCGUUCGCAGGAGCUUUUGCGUGACUAGAGAAAGUCUCCGCAGUCGAGACGCCGAAGGAAACAAGCGGCUUCUUCAGCCGCAGCAAACAGAAAACGCGACGACAAGAGGCGGGAGCUGCGCCCCUGUGGCGGCUCUCAGGCCGACCUCGCGUCAAGUUCCGCCUCCGACGGUGGGCUGGAAGAGUUGGAGACGCGGAUCGAUGGAAGCGGGGGAGAAAACGGCCGAGGGAACCUUUCCGUUCUCCAGUGCAGAGACGAACGCCGAGGUUGUCUGAGGACUUGCUCUGCGUCGAUGUUCGGCAGUGCGCUGGGAGCUCGCUCUGUGUGGACGCCCGAGCUGGGGUGCUCGCUCGCGGACGACAAGACAGCCGUUUCCUGUUUGAGAAGAGGCAGCCACCCGUUCUGCGGGUGCGUGUUUCCCUGACGGUUUCUCGGAAACUUUUCUGGGGAAAGGUUUCCAGCGAGCGCCGCGGAGCCGCGCGGGGAAAGCAGGGAGAAAAUCGGCGCCACCUGACAGCUCGAAUCUUCGCGAGCGUCGCGUAACGCGCAGAGCGAAAAACGGGAGCGGGAGAGCGCAAAAAACUCGCCGUCUUCUCGCGCGCGUUCGGCCGAACGGAAAGAAAAUACACGGAACAAAGAGAUGCGGAGAAACAGCCGUCACUUCAGACGACAUGCACUGCACAAAUGCUAGCGCGAAUAGACUUGUCAGCGAGCGCCGACCCGCGGACCCGCGGAACUGCCCUUCUUCUUGGUUCCGAACGCCAGAGGAGGGUCGCAGUUUUUUUUCUUCGGGCGCGACGAAACGUUCCUCUCCGAAGUUUUUCGAGGAAGUCGUCGGAAAGGACGAAGGAAGUAUAGAAAAGGAGGUAGAAAAGGAUUCGCUGGCGACCGACAGAGGUCGACCUCCUGCUGCUCGGCUUUACGCUGUGCAGGCAGAUAUCCUCCCGGGUGAGGAGACCUCCGGACAACAAAGGAUUUUUUCUCGUUUGGCCUGCUUUCUUCCGAGCUCUGACUCACGAAGAAAAAGGCGUCUCCACUCGUCAAACGAAGAGAAGGAACACACACGCCGACUCUCUACCUCUUGAAGGUGCAAGAGACAGCGACUCUCGGGCCUUCCUCCCCUCAAAACAAUCGUUUUCCUGGGUCAUGUCUGCAAGCCGGGGAAGAAAGCUUUUCGCGAUCCGCAUGUAAAGUGCGCCAACUGCAGCGGUGUGUCCAGCGCGUGUUUAGAGAAUGGAUGUCUUUCUACACACUGGUCGAGAAACAUCGUGGCGUUCGCCGCGGUCGAAGACAUAGGCGCCCACCCCCACCCCCCCCGCUCAAAGCCUGCUCAGUCUGUUUCUCUCAGACUACCGAGGGUCAGGCGUUUGCGUCCUCGCUUGCGAUGAUCGUGCCUGUUUACCCUCAGCUUCUGGACUGAUCACCUGCAGGACUUGCUCCCUUCGCUGUGAGUCGCGUCCUCAGUUGCGUCGCCUGCCGUGGCGCGAAUUCCGAUGUGUGUGUUUGGUGAAGAGCCGUGGAAACGAAGGGAAUCUCAGCUGUGCGAGAGACAGGGUUGUUGCUCAGGACGUCUUGUUCAACGGAGCCGCGGUAAACGAGAUGCCGCGUCGUCCGUGGCGCUGGGGAACAGACGCGCCGUCUCGUUGGCUCGACUGUGCUUGUGGAGUGUCUCUGAAAAGACUGCGCUCUUCUGUAGUCAACGAAACGGAGGCGACGGUGCUCGAGACCCAGCCGUCGUCGGGAAGUCUGAGAGACUCGCUGCACUUGCCCAGGUCGUUCAGGUUGCGCUCUCCCGAGUCGUUGAGGCAGAAAACUGGCCGACAGCGCACCACCAGACACGCGCUGCGACUUUUUGUCACUCUCUCUCGCAUCUCCAGUUUCCAGAGAGAAGCACAGCGACGGUUGCACAGAUACUGCAUCACAUGGAGAGGCUCCAGGCAUGUAGAGGACUCUUGAAAGAAACGCAGUGGAGGAUUGCACCCUGUCGUCAGCGUGAGAAACUGACAGACAGUCUCUGCCACGCGUAGACGUUCUAGAAACGCUUCUUACAUCUCCCGAUGUCAAUACCUACCUACCUACAUUCCUCUUUCAAUUUAUAUAAAUAUAUAAAUAUAUAUAUAAAUAUAUAUAAAUAUAUAAAUAUAUGUAUGUAUUGUCUGUGUAUACAAACGUUUGUGGUGAGAGAGACCGGAGAGGCGUUCGUGUCUAAGCGUUCGCCGAGAAAAGCGAGGGAGCCAUCUGUCGAGAAGCGCGGUGAGACUUCCUCCCUUUUCGUCGCAGUUCCAGCGGGACAUCUGCAUGCGCUGCUGGGAACAAAGUCUCCAUAGGGAGAAAAGAGAAUCUCGUCUUCACCUCCACCGCCGAGAAAAGUUCUUUCCUCGACUCGAGGCGCAGCGCCGACAUGGCAGCUCUCCCUCGAGGCAAAUCAUGGAGAAGAGUCCAAGGCUUCUCCUUGAAUAGACGUCAACGCAGAGUUCCACCGGCAGUAUGCACUUGCAAUCAAAUACGCACUCAUUCGUUUACAGUUGAUAUUCACACUCGCACUUCUGCAUGCAUACAAAGACGCACACAUAUGUAUUUUCAUAUAUGCAAAUAUGUAUAGGUCCAUUUUUGAGAACAAAUCCUCCCCAAGGAGAGAUGUAAGAAAGAUUGAAGAGUCGAGACUGCUGGCGGUGUCUUUCUCUUCAGUUCGAGCGGGAGACGACGAAGCUCGCGCGAGUUUCUUUCUACGCCACAGAGAAGGAAUUGACGCAGGGGCCAACGCUGAUCUCUCCACUUUCUCCUUGACAGGGCAAACGUUGCAUCUCCACUGUGAGGACGAGACUGCGACUUCGUUCGGGGUCUGGAUUGAGGCUCAAGAAGCCCUCGAGUGUAUCGACAGCUGCUCUCUGUCUCGCGUCGCUUUCGCCUGACGUUCGUUUCUCGCUCUUCUCUUCGCUCACCGCCGCCUCCUCCGUGGUACUCACAGCCCAACGAGGCGUGACCGCGACGCCGUUUCCGUUGGCGUCCUGAAAAAAGAAGCCGAGCAAGUUGCCGAGAGACACCGACCGAUUCAGAGCGAGAAAAGCGACACACACAUUGGCGCAGAGAGACGACAUGAACAAGCGAAGUGCAAAAGAAACAGACAGGAAGAAGAGAAAGAAGAUGAGACAGAAGAUCGCCGAGACGUUUCCCUCUGUCUCCUGUGCGUGCCUCCCGUUUUUCUUUUUUUCGAUGCGAGUCGAGUCAAUUUGAGUUUGAGUUUUUUGAGUCCAAUGCAAAUCGCAGAGUUGAAGCAGCGCUGUCCUGACAGCUUCUGCUUCCUUGUCUAGUUUUCGCUCUUCCUCUGCCGCCUUCUCGUUCGCUUUCUCUUCCACGCUCUCGACUCUCCUGCCUACCCUGAGGUGGAGCAGCGUCUGCUUCCAGUGUGUGCCUGGACUUAGAGGAGACGUCGAGAGACAGACGAAACCUGCGCGUUUUUCUCUUGUCGCCGGCUCUCCGGCGGCGCCCGAACUGCGUGUGUCUCCACCGGUGGUCGCCGCCGCGACCUUCAGGUUUUGCGCCGUUCCAAAGGAUUGAGGCCCCGCGAAAAAGGAGAUCGGCGCGUCUCCCGCGCGGCCUUCGCGGGUUCGCUCGAAGAAGCACUCGAAGUAAACCAGGAGGGUCGUCAAGGUAGGGCAGGCGACAGCCGCGAGCGCAGACGAGGACGAGGAAGACGAGGGGAAAGAGCGGUGAGAAGGGCGCCGAGUCAGGUCGACCUGCAAAGCGAGGAACGAACGCACAAGGGAGAGACUCGCCUCACGCAGCUG